RNAcentral lists this ribosomal RNA (391 nucleotides) under uncultured bacterium. RNAcentral describes it as "bacterial SSU rRNA". It matches the Rfam family "Bacterial small subunit ribosomal RNA", at positions 116 to 520 of the family's 1533-position model. The record is from RNAcentral.
CGUGUGCGAACCUGCCCUGGAUGUGUAGGAGAUAAUCCGAUCGGAAACGUCGCGCUAAUACCUGCAUACGGUGCCUGAGGGCUGAAAGAUUUAUCGCUCUAGAGAGCGGGCCCGCGUCGGAUUAGCCUCAGUUGGUCGAGGUAACGGCUCACCAAUGGCGAUGAUCCGUAGCUGGUCUGAGAGGAUGGAUCAGCCACACUGGGUACUGAGACACGGAUCCAGACUCCAUACGGGAGGCAGCAGUGGGGAAUAUUGGACAAUGGGGGCAACCCUGAUCCAGCAAUGCCGCGUGAGUGAUGAAGGCCUUCGGGUUGUAAAGCUCUUUCGCGCGCGACGAUGAUGACGGUAGCGCGAGAAGAAGCCCCGGCUAACUUCGUGCCAGCCGCCGCGG